This 107-nucleotide small nucleolar RNA is filed under the name Gossypium hirsutum (cotton). Its description in RNAcentral is "Plant small nucleolar RNA R71". It matches the Rfam family "Plant small nucleolar RNA R71". Rfam says of the family: R71 is a member of the C/D box family of snoRNAs containing the C (UGAUGA) and D (CUGA) box motifs. Multiple nearly identical copies of this snoRNA have been identified in Arabidopsis, and it is thought to function as a 2'-O-ribose methylation guide for 18S ribosomal RNA. The record is from Rfam by way of RNAcentral. Lineage: Eukaryota; Viridiplantae; Streptophyta; Magnoliopsida; Malvales; Malvaceae.
AAACCAUGCAUCGGACAUUUUCUAAUUAAUUCUUUAAAACACUCUCAUGCUUCAUAUAAUGUCUUAUCUUCAGACUGUUUGAACGAUGUAAUGUGAUAACUCAGCUU